AUCCACGGCCUUGCUACUCUGAACAUGCCCCAUUUCGUCAGAUCUCAGAAGCUAAGCAGGAUCAGGCCUGGUUAGUACUUGGAUGGGAGACCACCUAAGAAUACCAGGUGCUGUAAGCU
This is a ribosomal RNA of Pteropus vampyrus (large flying fox), 119 nucleotides long. The record is from Ensembl. Lineage: Eukaryota; Metazoa; Chordata; Mammalia; Chiroptera; Pteropodidae.